Long non-coding RNA from Suricata suricatta (meerkat), 800 nucleotides. RefSeq lists it as uncharacterized. The transcript is spliced from 2 exons. Lineage: Eukaryota; Metazoa; Chordata; Mammalia; Carnivora; Herpestidae. The record is from RefSeq and is a predicted model, not a curated record.
CCGGCUGGGAAACGUGGCUGCAAUAGUCUCAUGGCUGCUGCUGCUUUCGAGUUAGGUGCCAAGCCCCAGCCGAGUGCUCUGGCCCUGUGAGUGUGAGUGUGCGUGCCCAUGGGUGGUGAGCUGACACCGGAAAACAGAAGUUCCAAGAAGUCCUUCAAAAAUAAGGAUAAACUGGCCUUGAGUGGAAGCCUGGACCUUGUGAAAUAUGAUUGUCCAAACGCCAGGGCCUGGCAGGUGGGGAAGAAGGGCAGUGGGGGUGUCCGGAGCGGCUGCACGUUGAAAUCCUGGUGCCCAGACUACAUCUCAGACCAAUUCUAUCAGAACUCCUAGAGCAGAGGCCCCAGCGUCAUUGUGUUUUAAAACUUACAGAUGAUUCCCAAUGUGCAGCUGAAGUUGGGAAGCACUCACUGCUCCCCACACUGAGUGUCACUCCAGUGACAGCUAGUGUGUGGUGGGGGAGUAGGGAGACAGGAAAGCCAGCGACAUAGCAUCUGGGCCAGAGUGAAGGUUCUAGCCCGCUGCUCCCCACACCUCCCCCCACUUUAGGCACAGAAAAUUCAUUGUCUUGAAAAAAAAUUCUGACUGGCUUUGACUGUAUUAAAUUUCCUGAAUCAUUUUUUAUUCCGUUUUUUUGGGAGGUAUGUACAUUCUUUAUUUGGGUCAUGGGAAUAUAGUUAAUAAAUUAUAAUAUUUCUUAGUUCUUUUGAGAAUUUCCACAGGAUAGAUUUAGCCCCAGCCCUCUGAAGUCAUUUUCACUUUCAUUUAAAAAAUAGGUAAUAAACCACUUCAUAAAUGUCAAA